GUCCUCCUAAUGCUUACCACAGACAGUACACCCUUGAGUGUUGUCUGUAUAGAAACAGGAGGUACAUCAGCUUCUCCUAACAUUUGUGCAGUACUAGCUGAUCUCUAGUUACUCUAAAGUGUUGGGGGGAACAUUU
RNAcentral lists this small nucleolar RNA (136 nucleotides) under Oryzias melastigma (Indian medaka). RNAcentral describes it as "Small nucleolar RNA SNORA51 (ENSOMEG00000002429.1)". The record is from RNAcentral. Lineage: Eukaryota; Metazoa; Chordata; Actinopteri; Beloniformes; Adrianichthyidae.